CUCCCAUCUUGUGGACGAUCCUCUCCUCUAUUUUGCAGGCAGUUUCAUGGUCCUUGCUGUGGCUCCAAGGUCUGAUCUCAUGAUGGGCCCCAACCAGCUUGACCUUUGACCUCAACCACUGCCUGGCUGUCAGCUAUGCCUGGAAUGGUUCACGCUUCUCACUGGGCCUCUGAAGAUUUCUCAGGAGAUUACUGCUGCACCUGUAUUUCCUUGCUAAGAAGAAAAACUUCUAUUUGGAGAGCAUGUCAACAAUCAUCAAACCACAUUCUUUAGUUCAGUGAACUUCACUUAUAGGCCAUCAAAGCCUCAUCUGAACAUGGAUGCACCACUUGCAUAGGUUUAAUACUUGUAAAUAAACGGCUAAUCACACAAAUCACUGCAACAAUAAUAGUAAACAUUGUUUAAUGUUAAUCCUUGCACUCCACCUCUUGACGCAUGGACAUUCCCAUGCGCCAACUCACCAAACCUGGAUCCCUGUCUUAAAGAAAAAGAUUAGCUAGAACAUGUCCCAGGCAACAUCAGGGCACCUCCUCCGGAGUAGCUCCGUAACCCUGCAAUAAAAGAUGUUAGCGUGCGUUGCAUAUUAAGUUUGCUUAACACCUGGCUCUCCCAGGAGCCUGUAUACACACCAUCACGGCCUGGAAAGCAAAAUCUGGAAGUGAAAUCAAACUUCAUACCUGUAAACAAUUGUAUCAUAAGAGUAAUAAGCAUUCAACAUCAGCAAGACAAGUGUCAUGUGCAGGUUUUCUCAAAUCAGUAACUACAACUAUUACCCUAAUUCACCUCAGACAUGGAUUAUCCCAUGUACUCUGUUAACAUUAAUGUAAUCAGUGGCUUCUCUUAAGCAAAGUCACUCCACUCAUAUAUUAUUAUUAUUAUGGGGUCAAAAGUGGCCAGCAAAUGAGCCCAUAAUAAACUAUUCCAUAAUUACCGUAAUCUCUUAUUUGUUUUACUCAUGUCACUUGACCGCUUCAGCUGAUUCUCCUAAAUGCAGUCUCAGAAAAACAAACAUUAGCAAUACACAUUGACCAUCCUGGUGGGCAGGCGUCGGCCGUCCACAUUCCAGAGGUGCCAUAAAACACCAUAAAGUUAACACUCGCUGUGGAAAAAGUAACACUGGUCUCAUCACAGUAUGUCUCAAACUAUAUUAAUUUCUCCAUCAACAUAUAGCCUGUAACUACAGUUUUCUUCACACAUAAACCCAGAAAUCUUGUAGUAGAGAAACAUUAGCCAGUAUUCCUAUAAAUCACAUGAUCAAACACAUGAAGAACCGUAAUGCUGUAAAAACGAAAAUGCAAAUGUUAGCGCUUGCGCAGGCGUAUGCAUACUUUGUCACAGUUAUCUCUGUGAGCACACAAGCUAGUGAAUGACACACACACAGUAAAUUCACAGACACAGAAAAUGGCAUUUAAAAUGUUAAAUCAUCACGCAACCUCGAGUGUUGCUGUCAUCUUUCUGCUCCUGUAAAGGGAAGCACACACAGACUCAUCUGCACCCCUGCCAGGCGGGGGUCAACUUCACACAGUCGUGUUACAUCAGUAAAGUCUUGUCAGCUUUUGUCAGCUUUUACCAGUCAGUCAGUUUGUUUUCCUUUCACUCACUCAUUCAUGCAUUCAUUCUUUCUUUCUUUGCUGAUAGUGGAACCUAUCGUCGCAUUUAGUUUCCACUCUCAGCAAAAUGACGUCAUUUCAAAAAGAAAAAGAAGAACUUUAGUUUGGAUUACAUCGCUGAAUCCUUUUGGACUGGGACUGUAAUUCAAUAAUUGUCCCAAAUAAGUGGCUUUCUCCAGAGUCCAUUUAAAUGUGGAGAACUCACUUGACACAAUUUUCUCGACGACGUGUAGCAUUUUUAAUUCCCGACGGGCAGAUCUGCUUAAAGAAAAGAAAAUAGACAAACAAAAUCAGUGCCUGUUCAAAAGAUAAAAAUGAAAAAUAACAGAGAUUAUCAAACAAAACUUUCAGUGCACUGUGAAAGUAUCAAAAUAAAAAGGCCUUGUUAAGUCAUGACACAAACUCCUCAUCUCAGGAGGGUAAAUCAUACCAUUAGCAUGGUUUAUCAUACCAUCAUACUAAUCGGCAGGCUCAACUUCACAACAAAAGAAAAAUCAUCAGCUAGAUUCACUCCAAAUCAACCAUCAGCUGCACAAAACAACAUAACCUUAAUGCCUUAUUAGCUAUGAGUUUAAUCCCCAGGUCUGUGCUCUUCACUCAUUUAGGUCACAGAUCUAUUUUAUUCAGUUUUCCUUUUUUCCCUUCAUCAUAAAACAUGUGACAUGCUGUCAUGCACUUCACAAAAGAAGUUUGUUCUGACGUAUUCAGAGUUGUGUAUCUAAAUACUGUCAAGGCGCGGCUGUGUGGCAGGCAGGAGGAGGACCCAAACGCAAAACUCACAGACACGGAGAUGAACUCAAAAUCACAGCUUUAAUGCUGGAGUGGCAGAACAUAGGAAAUACAAAACUAAACUGGGAAAAGUAAACUAACAUACGCAGAGACACAGGGAGAUCCACACAACAUGAGGGACGACGUCACGCUGAACAGAGGGAGACGCAGACAGAAAUACACAGAGGGUUAACGAGGGGAGUGGGAACACACGGGGAACACAGGUGACACUGAUAAUCAUAACGAGACAGGGCGGGGUGAACUGAACGCUGACGGGAGAGGUGAAACAGGAAGUACAGAGGAGAGAGAGCACGAGUAGAACACCAACGUAACGGGCAGGGGAGACACGGAAUAAACACGAAAGGGGACGAGGGCUCAUAAAUACAUAGAGGGCACACAGGGGGAAGAGAGCACGGGGAGAACUUAGACAUAAUGGGCAGGGGAAGCAUGGAAUAAAACAUAAGGAGAGACGAGGGCUCACAGAUACACAGAGGGGCACACAGGGAGACAUGAAGGGCAAGGGAUCAAAACUAGAAGCCAUAGAAUAAGUCACACACAAGUACAAUAAUACGAAAAUCACAAAGAACUAAAAACGCUGGGUCAGGAGACCCAGGACCGUGACAGUACCCCCCCCUCAAGGGCUGGCUCCAGACAGCCCAAACACAGAAAAACAAAACCAAACAGAAAACAACCCAGGGCGGGCGGCGGGGGCCCAGGACGGAGGGCUCGGAACAGAAAACAAAAGAGCACAGCAAACACCGGAGCCCAAGAAAAUAACUCAAACACAGAGCAGUUCAGGAGGCCGGCCGUGCGCAAGGCAACGGCGGAGACGUGGAAACAGUUCAGGAGGCCGGCCGUGCGCAAGGCAACGGCGGCGACGUGGAAACAGUUCAGGAGGCCGGCCGUGCGCGAGGCAACGGCGGCGGUGAAGGAGACGGAGCAGUUCAGGAGAAGAGGGUCCGGGGGCCGGCCGUGCGGAAGGCGACGGCGGCCACUCAGGCGAUGACGGUGCAGUUCAGGGGGCCGGCCGCGCGGAAGGCAGCGGCGGCGGCUCUCCAGUGUCAGGCGUACUGGCCGAGGCCCGGUGGGCACAGG
Long non-coding RNA from Astatotilapia calliptera (eastern happy), 3473 nucleotides. The record is from Ensembl. NCBI's taxonomy places the organism in Eukaryota, Metazoa, Chordata, Actinopteri, Cichliformes, Cichlidae.